This is a long non-coding RNA of Phyllostomus discolor (pale spear-nosed bat), 1956 nucleotides long. RefSeq lists it as uncharacterized. The transcript has 4 exons. The record is from RefSeq and is a predicted model, not a curated record. NCBI's taxonomy places the organism in Eukaryota, Metazoa, Chordata, Mammalia, Chiroptera, Phyllostomidae.
GAGCAUUCCAGGAGAGAGUGGCACCUGCAAAGGCAGAGAAGCCCGAAAGACAGGCCCUGAGCUGGGAAGCACUCAGCCGCAGUGUGCCCGGGGGAGAGCAAGGAGGGGGAAUGAGGGAAGGCCUGGAAGCAUGUGGCUGGGCCACAGGGUGGAGAAGAACUGGCUCUGAAAAGAUUGGUCUCUAAAGUCUCGAUUUCAAACAAGAAGAACAGACAGUUCCAGCUUCUAAAUACUGGCAGAGAAGAACAGCUACUCUUUUUAGAGGGAGAAAAAAACACACCACCCACCACACACAACUUUCAGCCACAUUUUUGCCAGCAGCAUUCAAAACAAUUCCUGUGAGUUAGCCAAGAGGAGCCCUCAAAAGUUUACUCUCUGCUGCCCCAUGGAGUAGCCAAUUCACCAGCCUUGGACAGGUCUGCUUGUUCCUCUUGGUGGGUUCUGUUUUUCUUUCCUCCCCCACGGUUUUUCGUGAGUUGAAGGGAGGAGGCAGUAAAAGUUCAUUUCAGAUGCAUCAUAAAACUCAGAAGAGGCUGGCCUAUGGCAACUUCGAGCAGGUGGGGUGUGCUGGGCUGUUGCAGCAGCUCCUCUGCGGGGUGGCGUGAAUUCCGAGAGGUUUCCAAGAAUUCUGCCAUGGCUCACUGGGACCUCAGCAGAGGGGCAAGAGCCCAGCCCCACCUUCGCUAGGACUGCUGUCUCCAAUUAGCACGGUGAAUUUCUUUUGUUAGAGAUACUCAAACGCCAUGGUAUCAUUAUUCAUAAAACAGAAUAUUCUUAAAACAGCUUUCUAAUGAGUUUGAAAUUUUUCCUUACUAUAGGCUCCCACAUCGUGCAGUCUAACUGAAGAAAAAUUCCCUGCCCAAGUCCCACAUUCCGUGGACCAAGCAGACCGUAGCCCUCCCAGAGUCUGCAGGCUGGAGUCGCUGAACAAGCAAGUCGCAACAGGAAAAGUACAAAAAGAUGCUCGAUCUCUGUAGUGAGCAAAGGAAAGCACAUGUAAAACACCAAUGAGAUAUCGUUUUCACUUAAGGGGUUCACAGAGAUUGAAAAAAAUAACCCCUGGUGUGGGCAACAGAAUGGAGGAGAAAGAAUUUACAAACAUGAAGGGUGGGCGGUCCGGCAGCGCAUGCGAACAUGGAAACGGGCCCAUGCCCCGCCCGUGUCGCUGCAGGAAUGCCUCCUAAGGAGACGAUCAGACAGACCUGGAAACAGGUGUGCGGAAGGAUGUUCGUUGCGAUGUUUGCUUGCUUUUCCUGACAGUAAAACCCAGAAAAAACACCUAAAUGACCAACCACUGGAAAAAUGGGUAAAGAGGUUAUGGCACGGUUAUUUAAUGGCAUGUUGUGUGGGGCCACGCUAAUUAAUGGUGUCGUUCUCCGUUUCUGAACAGGGAGUCACCCACGACGGACUGCCGAUUGAAGAAGGCAAGGUCGCGAGCAGCCAGGACAGUGUCGGCUUGCUUUCUAAAAAGGAAAAAUAAUCCCAAACCAUUGGACUAAUCUGAGUCUUCACACUGUGACCAGUAAACCUCAUGGAUCUGAUCCAGUUUGGUUCUGGGGGGGUCUUUAUCAGAACGACCACCAGGGCCCAGACGACAGCACCAAGAAUCAGUAACAUCUGGAGUGGGCGCGGGGAGAUGAAAAUCCCCAGAGACAGGGGCGUGGAUUUUGCUGGAGAAUCUAGUAAGCUUCCAAGCCCAAGUUCUUGACUUUCUGUUGUUUCCAGAAUCGGGUGGUUACGAAGCUGGUAAUAAAACAGUGACCUAAACUUUCCAGGCAAAUUGGGUUUUAGAAAACACUAUGGUGAAUUUUAAAAGGCUCAACUGACUUGGAGGAUAUUGGAGCUAACCCACCAUUCAACGAGAUGUGUAUGGAUAUUUUCUUUAGGCAAUAUGAGAGUUAAAAAAAUGUCUCCAUUUAUAGGCAAUGUAAGAAAUGGGAUAAAAAAACACAUUUG